RNAcentral lists this long non-coding RNA (414 nucleotides) under Homo sapiens (human). RNAcentral describes it as "non-protein coding lnc-SLC7A6OS-1:2". Lineage: Eukaryota; Metazoa; Chordata; Mammalia; Primates; Hominidae. The record is from RNAcentral.
GCUACUCGCUCGAACCCGCCGGGCGAAGGAAGCACUUCCCAUGCUCUCCCUGUCGCCGUGUCCGGGCGCGAGUCAUUUCCGUCCCGGGCGCCUGUUUCUUUAGCUGCCAAGUGGAGCUACGCUGAGCUCUCUCCCCCCGGGCCUCGCCCCUUUCCCGGGCAUGAGCUCUGGUGAUGCGCCCGGGUGCCCCGCUCUCUCCAUUGUCCAGGGGCCGGGCCGCAGCACCCUCCUUGUCCGAAAGCGCGUGGUGCGGCUCCCGUCUCAGUCUCGAGUCGGGCUAGGCAACCGCGUGACUCAGUUCCCGCCACGCUGGAGCCCCCUCCUUCCUGCUGGAUUAUUCAGUUUCUCAGUCACUUAUUCAGUUUCUCAGUCACCUCCCUGGGAGAGUUUGGGAAACCUCGUCUAGGGUGCAGC